RNAcentral lists this long non-coding RNA (202 nucleotides) under Elaeis guineensis (African oil palm). RNAcentral describes it as "long non-coding RNA (EGUI_LNC057628)". The record is from RNAcentral. Lineage: Eukaryota; Viridiplantae; Streptophyta; Magnoliopsida; Arecales; Arecaceae.
CUAUUAUGUACCAAUUAUUAGCAGUAAUUUGAUUUUUAUUUCAUCAUUAAUGCAGGAUGAUUAUAUUUUUAAUUUUCGUAAAGACUACUAUAUAAUUUAUUUUAAAAAUAAAUUAGUUGCAUGUGGUUUUAUGAUUGACAGUCUCUAUCACUUACGUAUAGAUGUAUCUAUGAACAUAUUUGUGCAAGUAGUGAGUGGCAUA